This 497-nucleotide ribosomal RNA is filed under the name uncultured bacterium. RNAcentral describes it as "partial 16S ribosomal RNA". It matches the Rfam family "Bacterial small subunit ribosomal RNA", at positions 28 to 507 of the family's 1533-position model. The record is from RNAcentral.
GAUGAACGCUGGCGGCGUGCCUAACACAUGCAAGUCGAACGGCAGGACGAUAAGAUUGUGUCCUUGAGGUUAGCGGCGGGCGGGUGAGUAACGAGUGGAUCACAUACUUCUUUUUCUGGGAUAAUUACGGGAAACCGGUUACAAUACGAGAGGAUAUUCUGAACCGCAUGGAUCAAAGGAGAGUGACGGCCUUUGUGGCUGAACUAGCUGGUUCCGCGCUGCAUUAGCUAGUUGGUAAGGUCCCGGCCUACCAAGGCAACGAUGCGUAGCCGACCUGAGGGGCUGAUCGGCCACACUGGAACUGAGACACGGUCCAGAGUCCUACGGGAGGCAGCAGUGGGGAAUCUUCGGCAAUGGGCGAAAGCAUGACCCAGCAAUGCCGCGUGUGUGAAGAAGGCCUUCGGAUCGUAAAGCCCUGUUAUUGGGGAAGAACAGCUGUGGGUUUAAACGAAGCUGUCUUGACGGUACCUAAUGAAUAAGCAACGGCUAACUUCGUG